GGUGUUAACUCCUCGGAACUUCCAGCUGAGAGAAAGCCAACAGGUAGAGAGUCACGGGUUUGUGUCCUAGGAUCAGCGGCAUACCCUGAACCCACACACCAUGGAGCAGACAAUAAUACAGAGAUGGAAAACUUGAAGAUCUGAACAUUGCCAUCAAGGUGGUUAGCUAGUUUUUAUCCGACCUCAUGCUUCCCACGUGUGUGUGUAUGGGACCCCUUCAUAGUCAGUUCCAUACACCUACUGCAAUGACCAAGCAACAACAACCUGCGUUUUCACCUUGAGUAUUGUGCUGAGAGCAAAUUUGUUAUUAUGUCAUAAGCUUGUUAACGACAUAGGAAA
Leptonychotes weddellii (Weddell seal) is the source of this 339-nucleotide non-coding RNA. Lineage: Eukaryota; Metazoa; Chordata; Mammalia; Carnivora; Phocidae. The record is from RefSeq and is a predicted model, not a curated record.